Molecule: long non-coding RNA, 365 nt
Organism: Pongo pygmaeus (Bornean orangutan)
Lineage: Eukaryota; Metazoa; Chordata; Mammalia; Primates; Hominidae
Exons: 3
Source: RefSeq, a predicted model, not a curated record
CCGGACCCUGCGGAAGAAUCCACCAGCUGCUGGAUUCUCCCAUGGCGCUGAAACAGCCCCUGGGGUCAAACCUGUGGUCUUGGAUGCUUAACCUGUGGUCUUGGAUGUGGUCUUGGGGUGGAGUCUUGUGCUGUCACCCAGGCUGGAGUGCAAUGGUGUGGUCUCAGCUCACUGCAACCUCCACCUUCCAGGUUCAAGCGACUCUCCUGCCUCAGCAUCCCAAGUAGCUGGGACUACAGAGAUCAGAGGGUCUUGAUGUGUUGCUCAGACUGGUCUCGAACUCCUGGCCUCAGGUGAUCCUCCUGCCUCAGCCUCCCAAAGUGCUGUGAUUACAGGCAUAAGCCAUUACACCUGCUAGGUAGCUU